UGGGGAAUUUUGGACAAUGGGGGAAACCCUGAUCCAGCCAUCCCGCGUGUGCGAUGAAGGCCUUCGGGUUGUAAAGCACUUUUGGCAGGAAAGAAACGUCAUGGGUUAAUACCCCGUGAAACUGACGGUACCUGCAGAAUAAGCACAGGCUAACUACGUGCCAGCAGCCGCGGGAAUACGUAGGGUGCAAGCGUUAAUCGGAAUUACUGGGCGUAAAGCGUGCGCAGGCGGUUCGGAAAGAAAGAUGUGAAAUCCCAGAGCUCAACUUUGGAACUGCAUUUUUAACUACCGGGCUAGAGUGUGUCAGAGGGAGGUGGAAUUCCGCGUGUAGCAGUGAAAUGCGUAGAUAUGCGGAGGAACACCGAUGGCGAAGGCAGCCUCCUGGGAUAACACUGACGCUCAUGCACGAAAGCGUGGGGAUCAAACAGG
This 429-nucleotide ribosomal RNA is filed under the name Acidobacteriota bacterium. RNAcentral describes it as "Acidobacteria bacterium partial 16S ribosomal RNA". It matches the Rfam family "Bacterial small subunit ribosomal RNA", at positions 355 to 776 of the family's 1533-position model. The record is from RNAcentral. Lineage: Bacteria; Pseudomonadati; Acidobacteriota.